ACAUUGGCGGCGGGGCCUACACAUGCAAGUCGAGCGGUAGCACAGAGAGCUUGCUCUCGGGUGACGAGCGGCGGACGGGUGAGUAAUGUCUGGGAAACUGCCUGAUGGAGGGGGAUAACUACUGGAAACGGUAGCUAAUACCGCAUAAUGUCGCAAGACCAAAGAGGGGGACCUUCGGGCCUCUUGCCAUCAGAUGUGCCCAGAUGGGAUUAGCUAGUAGGUGGGGUAACGGCUCACCUAGGCGACGAUCCCUAGCUGGUCUGAGAGGAUGACCAGCCACACUGGAACUGAGACACGGUCCAGACUCCUACGGGAGGCAGCAGUGGGGAAUAUUGCACAAUGGGCGCAAGCCUGAUGCAGCCAUGCCGCGUGUAUGAAGAAGGCCUUCGGGUUGUAAAGUACUUUCAGCGGGGAGGAAGGUGUUGAGGUUAAUAACCUCAGCAAUUGACGUUACCCGCAGAAGAAGCACCGGCUAACUCCGUGCCAGCAGCCGCGGUAAUACGGAGGGUGCAAGCGUUAAUCGGAAUUACUGGGCGUAAAGCGCACGCAGGCGGUCUGUCAAGUCGGAUGUGAAAUCCCCGGGCUCAACCUGGGAACUGCAUUCGAAACUGGCAGGCUAGAGUCUUGUAGAGGGGGGUAGAAUUCCAGGUGUAGCGGUGAAAUGCGUAGAGAUCUGGAGGAAUACCGGUGGCGAAGGCGGCCCCCUGGACAAAGACUGACGCUCAGGUGCGAAAGCGUGGGGAGCAAACAGGAUUAGAUACCCUGGUAGUCCACGCCGUAAACGAUGUCGACUUGGAGGUUGUGCCCUUGAGGMGUGGCUUCCGGAGCUAACGCGUUAAGUCGACCGCCUGGGGAGUACGGCCGCAAGGUUAAAACUCAAAUGAAUUGACGGGGGCCCGCACAAGCGGUGGAGCAUGUGGUUUAAUUCGAUGCAACGCGAAGAACCUUACCUACUCUUGACAUCCAGAGAACUUUCCAGAGAUGGAUUGGUGCCUUCGGGAACUCUGAGACAGGUGCUGCAUGGCUGUCGUCAGCUCGUGUUGUGAAAUGUUGGGUUAAGUCCCGCAACGAGCGCAACCCUUAUCCUUUGUUGCCAGCGGUCCGGCCGGGAACUCAAAGGAGACUGCCAGUGAUAAACUGGAGGAAGGUGGGGAUGACGUCAAGUCAUCAUGGCCCUUACGAGUAGGGCUACACACGUGCUACAAUGGCGCAUACAAAGAGAAGCGACCUCGCGAGAGCAAGCGGACCUCAUAAAGUGCGUCGUAGUCCGGAUUGGAGUCUGCAACUCGACUCCAUGAAGUCGGAAUCGCUAGUAAUCGUAGAUCAGAAUGCUACGGUGAAUACGUUCCCGGGCCUUGUACACACCGCCCGUCACACCAUGGGAGUGGGUUGCAAAAGAAGUAGGUAGCUUAACCUUCGGGAGGGCGCUACCACUUUGAUUAAGGG
RNAcentral lists this ribosomal RNA (1446 nucleotides) under bacterium. RNAcentral's name for it is "bacterial SSU rRNA". It matches the Rfam family "Bacterial small subunit ribosomal RNA". The record is from RNAcentral.